This 64-nucleotide transfer RNA is filed under the name Typhlatya galapagensis. RNAcentral describes it as "tRNA-Arg". The record is from RNAcentral. Lineage: Eukaryota; Metazoa; Arthropoda; Malacostraca; Decapoda; Atyidae.
GAUUAGAAAGCGAAUUUAUUGCACUUAGUUUCGACCUAAGUUUUGGUGGAAAUACCUCUAAUUU